UACGGGGGGGGCAAGCGUUGUUCGGAAUUACUGGGCGUAAAGGGCGCGUAGGCGGCCUUCUAAGUCGAACGUGAAAUCCCCGGGCUCAACCCGGGAACUGCGUCCGAUACUGGAAGGCUUGAAUCCGGGAGAGGGAUGCGGAAUUCCAGGUGUAGCGGUGAAAUGCGUAGAUAUCUGGAGGAACACCGGUGGCGAAGACGGCAUCCUGGACCGGCAUUGACGCUGAGGCGCGAAAGCGUGGGGAGCAAACAGG
This 253-nucleotide ribosomal RNA is filed under the name uncultured bacterium. RNAcentral's name for it is "partial 16S ribosomal RNA". It matches the Rfam family "Bacterial small subunit ribosomal RNA", at positions 524 to 776 of the family's 1533-position model. The record is from RNAcentral.